Molecule: long non-coding RNA, 1556 nt
Organism: Ictidomys tridecemlineatus (thirteen-lined ground squirrel)
Lineage: Eukaryota; Metazoa; Chordata; Mammalia; Rodentia; Sciuridae
Source: Ensembl
UGUCUCUGGCCUGGAAGCUCUCGCCUCCAGCCACCUUUUUUGAAGAGUCUUCCGCAGGUUAAAACCAGCGGUGAGAGGGGCAGAUGGCCUUCUGCGAAGGCAGAGAGGAAGAUGACUACGAGAGGCUGCAGGGGACCCAGGGAUGAGAGUAGGAGUCAGGGUCAUCCUUGGACCCUUCCAGCCAUCCAACAGGAGGAGUUACAAUUGCCAUUCUACUUUGAGAAAACUGAGACCUAAAGUCUGCCUGCCAGUGAUGGUGGAGCUGGAAUUAGAAUUCAGAUCUGGCUGCUCUUGAUGACUCCGAUCCCCACCCGUCUGUGAGCCUGUGAGCGAGGCCAGUACCGGGAACAAAUGUGAGGCUUGGGACCCACCGAGGGAGGUGAGCAGACCGCAGGGAGGGCGGGCCGAUCCCCUAGUUUCUGCAGCGCAGGGGGCUGGACCGCGAGGCUCGGCGCCAGGGGGCCUGCUGAGCGGUCUCUGCCAAGAGGGGGCGCGCGGGACGCCCCAACGGAAGCUCCGGGACGCGAUCGCUGUCCAAGUUUGAAAGGGUUGACCACUGGCCAAGGGACCCGCCUGGAGGGAGACCCUGCUCAGGACUGGAGGAGACCUCUCAAGUGCCCCAGUAGCUUCCAAGAGCCACUGAAUCCUGUGUGUUUUCAUCCCUGAGCCCCACCAUUGGCCCAAGCUGGGCAAGGAGCAACCAGUCAACCUCAGAGGCCUGGAGGCUGUAAAGUUAAGCAAGACAAAGAAAUCCCCAUGGACAAGCCUCACCUAUGUGCCAUACGCAGUGCCUGCAUUUCCACGGUCAUCAUUUCCUUCACCCCGAGCCACGGGAGGAUGUGGAGAAGUCCCACCUCUGCCAUCACUUUUCCCUUGCACAGUUAUCUUGGCUUUCCUCACCAUCUUCCUCACGGUGUCCUCUGCAUCUGAACUCUUCCCAAGGACUUGGAAGCACAAUGUUGUGUCAGCCACUGUCAGCUUCCUCACAGGGAUCUGUGCCUUCCUGGCCAUGUUGCUGCAUGCCUUGGAGAUCCGGGAUCUGAGGAUGAAGCCCAGUCCACCACAGUUCUCCAUGCAGUGGCCUUACUACAUCCUGGGCUUUGACAUCCUUCUGUUCCUGGUGGCUGGUGCCAUUUGCCUUUCUCAAGGAAAAAUCUGCCUUAGAUGUCGCUUGUUGCCCAUUUACCAGAGCACUGAAGACGUCCAGGGGACCCUACACUUGGAAAAGCUGGAAAGUUUGGGAGGAAAACUGAGCUGGGUACAAAAGGAGACCCAGCUGAGGGAAGCAACAGUAAUCUAGCCCAGGACAUUGUCUCUGCCCUUCCUGAAGCUGUGUGGCAACGCUUGCAGGUGUGUGCGGCAACUCCUUCUCUGCCAGUCUCUGCUGCCUAGAGGAGGUGGAGCAUCAAGCCAACCUUCCACGCCCUGACACGCACAGACAGUCCAUCUUGCCGAUGUUUAAAAUUUUUUAAAAGUUCUUUGGAAAGAAAAAGUUCUUUGAACUCUUCUGAGCUUCUUGAGUGAUUAUUAUUACUUUUUUGGAAGGUAUAUUAAAG